Acanthosepion pharaonis is the source of this 111-nucleotide non-coding RNA. Lineage: Eukaryota; Metazoa; Mollusca; Cephalopoda; Sepiida; Sepiidae. The record is from the annotation of a GenBank genome assembly.
UACGGCCACCUCAGGUUGAAAUGCUAGUUCCUGUACGAUCACUGAAGUUAAGCAACACUGAGCUUGAUCAGUGCCUAGAUGGGUGACUGCUUGAGAAUGCCAUGUGCUGUA